UUAUAUUAUAUUAUAUUAUCAUAUUAUGAGCUUGUUUCAAUGAUCCUUUGGAUACUCAAAUAAUAAGAGCAAGUUAUUAAUUUCUAAACAAGCACUUAGCAGUUUAUGUAUCAGCUACCAGCGAUGCCAGCAAUAUGAUAAGUGAUAUUUAAAAAGGUCUGCAGUCAACUUUUUGCAGCUCUAAGUGGAGAUAAUUUUGGGACCAGUAUUUAGCGCUUAACACUUUGGCAUGAAGCGUACACUGAAGUGUGUGGGUGUCUGCUUUCAUUUUGUUAUAUAUUCUGUGAUUUUGUGCCGUGGGUGAAGGCCAGAUGACUAAUCAUUGGCCUUGUUAUUUGUGUUUCUUGGUUGAAGAUGUCUAAAUCUUUAGCGUUGUGUCAUUACACACUGUAACCUGCCCUUGAUCCCUUAGCUUCAGUCAAUGUCUUUAGCCUUUUAGUUGCAUAAGCAUUAGUCAAAAACAGAUGCUCAAGUGAAUUUUAUUAGAUUCAUUUAUUAGAUUCAUCCCUCAUUGUGAGGGCCAGGGUUACAAAAACAGUUUACAAAGAUUAUUCUUAAAGUGCAUCUGGCUCAAAAAAAGUGACAUCAGUGUAGGCCUAAAUAAAAAGCCAAAACAAAUUGGUUAGUUAGGUCAAAAAAGUCUGAGUCAUUAUGCACUUAUGCCUAAGUGAUGGCUGAACAUGUUAAGUGCUGCUGAGGGCAAUGUAUUCCACAUUAUUUCCACUCUCCACGCUGAACCUCUCCUAUGCUAUUUAUCUAUUUAUUUAUUUUUAUUUGUUUAAUUAUUUAUUUGACUAAAGAGGGUUUCCAAUAUCAAUUCCACGAUUUUAUCCAAAACAAUUUACAAUUUUAGAGUCAGAAACAGAAAGAGCAGUUCGAUUCAGUUUAAACUGAAGGAAUAUAAUCUGGAUUCACUUUAAAAACAUUAUGUAAUUCCAACAAAUCACUUACUGACAAAACUUUACAUUCAUAAAUCUAAUUAUGAGUCAGUAUGCUGGGUAUUUCUGUCUUUUGUUUGCAUUAUCUUUUUCCCCCUAUAUUUAUCAAGUUAUGAAUGCUUUACUGAUAAUCACUGGCAAAACAAACUGUAAUGGAAAAGCUUAACUAACAUAUUUGUAUAUCAAGGUGCUUUAGAGAUUUUUUAAAUUCUGGUUUUAGAUGUGGAAUGGAUGGUUUUGAAAGUUUAUUUUUAUUUAUAUUUUAAGACACUUGCUGAGGUGUUUACAGGCACACAUCUGCUUUAAAACCUUCAUAAUAAUGCUAAUAAUGUCUGUCUACUUAACUCUUAUUAGCAGCAACAUGUAGUUUAGAAGUUUUCUCGUAGAUGUAAACCAUGGAAACAGUAGAGCUGCUUCUGUGAUUAUUCAAUCAUAGCCUACAGUAGAUUACCAUGCCAACUCAUGCAGCAGUGUAGCUUUGGUUACCAUAAAUGUAAGCAGGUCUGUGUGAACUGAAGUGAUAUUAUGGCAUUUAUUACAAUCUAAGGUCACAGGCUCACAUUAUCCAAAGUCUUAGUUUGUAAUAUGAAGUGGUUAAUAUAGAAAGGAGAAAUGUAAAUGAAAUGACUGUUUAAAACAAAUGUUUAUCAGUGUGCUCUGAAUAUAUGAAUGUGAAUGAGGGAAAUUUUCUAAUUGUGAGGCAACAUUAGAAAAGGGCUUCUAAACUGCUCCUGGUUUAAGACUGCUUUUUGUGCAAUAGACUACUAUUUAUUAAAAAUAUGAAUGUGUUCUGAUUCUAGAUAUCUGAUAUCUAGAUCAAUGAAACUUGUAAAGAUGGUCCCAAACCGGAAAAUGUAAAACUGUGUACAGAUAUCAAGAUGGACAAGCUGAAAAUAAAUUAUUUUAGUGAAAACA
This is a long non-coding RNA of Cyprinus carpio carpio, 1853 nucleotides long. NCBI's taxonomy places the organism in Eukaryota, Metazoa, Chordata, Actinopteri, Cypriniformes, Cyprinidae. The record is from Ensembl.